This 254-nucleotide unclassified non-coding RNA is filed under the name uncultured Acidimicrobiia bacterium. RNAcentral describes it as "contains 16S-23S intergenic spacer region". It matches the Rfam family "Bacterial small subunit ribosomal RNA", at positions 524 to 776 of the family's 1533-position model. The record is from RNAcentral. Lineage: Bacteria; Bacillati; Actinomycetota; Acidimicrobiia.
UACGUAGGGAGCGAGCGUUGUCCGGAUUUAUUGGGCGUAAAGGGCUUUUAGGCGGCUUGAUAAGUCGGAUGUGAAAUCUCCAGGCUCAACCUGGAGUCGCCAUUCGAUACUGUCAUGGCUUGAGUUCGGUAGGGGACCACGGAAUUCCCGGUGUAGCGGUGAAAUGCGCAGAUAUCGGGAGGAACACCAGUGGCGAAGGCGGUGGUCUGGGCCGAUACUGACGCUGAAGAGCGAAAGCGUGGGGAGCGAACAGG